CCCCCUGGCAACACUUUGCUAGACCCGCCCCUGCACAGUUACCAGCUGUCAGCUACUUAGAAAAGGAUCCUGGUGUUAUUUGUCUCUCAGAAACAGUUCAUAACUUCAACUCAUCCAUGUCACCUAAAAGGUAAACCUGUUUCUCCAUCACAGCUCUGAUGAUUCAGUAAGGACAUCUCCUGGUUUCAUCUUCAUGUUUCCCUCUCACCACAUAUCCAAACCGACAUCAUGACCAGCAGCUUUACAGCUGUGGCUCCAGCAAACAUCAGCUGAUACUAGAAAUUAAUAUUAAAUAAAUUCUAACAACAGCUGAUCAAGCUUAAACGUGCUGCUGUUGUUUAACGCGACAUCUGCUGGUUUCCUCUUUCUGGCGCAAAGUGGGCGAUAAAUAAACAAGAGAGAAAAGCCGAUCAGCUGAUCACUGAUCAGUUUCAUGAUUGAAGCAGCAACAGGAGAGGGAGGGGGGAGAAUGAGAGGAGAAGAGGCAGCUGUGCAGCAAAGACACAGAAUAAUUCCAGCUUUGUGUCUUUUUUUCAUUAUAGCGAAAGUCCGGGACAAACUGCAUCCCUACUCACCUCAAUACGAAACGCGUAAUAUUUUCUCUGAAUACCAGACGAUUCUGUUUUUACAGGACGGUUGGAAGCUCUACUAACUAACCUUAUGAACAAAAUAAUGUUCAACAUCAGUAACAUCAUAGCACCCACCCAGCUGUAUAGAAACUCUGUCAUGCUAGCUAGUAGCAGUACGAAAAAGUCAGCAUAAUGAAAAUAAACUCCACCUAAACUUGGUUUAUAUCUGAACCUGAUAGACUGCAGGUCAUAACUUCUUACCUGAAGUUCACCUGACACUUGGACCGGUGUUCUGAGAAAUCAUCCUACUCUGACAAAACGUCCUACCCGUAUUAUAUGUAGCCCUGUCUGCAAUUAUUCGGGCUUGCAGUAUAAAGAAAAAAAAGUCUACUGUUAUAAAAACUGGUUAAAAUAUAAAUAGUUGAUAAAAGGUUUAAAAAUCAUAUGUUUUGGUACAAAUGUAUUUCAAUUACAGUUAAGAGUCCAAUAAUUAAAAGGGUUUCAUGAUUUAGAGUUAUUUUCUGUGCACAAUAAAUAUGUUGGGGUGUAACCUAAGUUUAUUUACCCAUCUAAUGUCAGUUAUAUUAAUGUUGUAUUGUCAUUGGUUGUUGUGCUGACGAGCCAGUCAAUGUCACUCUUCUCUGCUAUGGGGGCGGGACGAGUGGUAAAGUUUGUGAAUCAGAAGCUAAGUCCGAAGAGAGAGAUGUCGUAAGGCAAACGUGGUGUGGAUUUUGCAUCUAAGUGUAUCAUUGAGGUCGACUACCCGUGGUCCUGAUAUUACUUAUUUGUGAUCUGCAAGAGAAGCCGAGGGACGCUCUGAAAGGAGAGAGAGGUUUCUGCCCGGAUGGACCCUGCUGUUUCCUCGCCCCUGACUGUUUUCUCGCCCCUGACUGUCUUCACUACUGGUGAACUAACUGCUAACUGCCCGUUUCUGAUUGCCCCACUAACAAACUCAUUGGACUCGUGAGUACUAACUGGAACUAAAGUGCACGUAUUUUGUUUAUGGCUCAGUUUGAGUGAAGCGGCCAUCAGUUUUAGGCCUCACCGCACCCGAACUUCGAAUCAGGCCUGCAACAAGCACCGUGCUACAGGUGUAGUGUGGACAGGUUAAAGUGUGUGUGUGUGUGUGUGUG
Astatotilapia calliptera (eastern happy) is the source of this 1702-nucleotide long non-coding RNA. The record is from Ensembl. NCBI's taxonomy places the organism in Eukaryota, Metazoa, Chordata, Actinopteri, Cichliformes, Cichlidae.